AUGGGAGGAGCCUCGCCGGCGAUAAAGCCUAUCGGCAAAUCAGUGGUGCACCGGAUUUGCUCCGGCCAAGUCAUUUUCGACCUCUCCUCCGCAGUGAAGGAGCUCGUGGAGAACAGCCUCGACGCCGGCGCCACCACCGUCGAGGUCGGCCUCAAGGCCUACGGCGAAGAGUGGUUCAAGGUCGCGGAUAACGGCAGCGGCAUCUCUCCCGGCAAUUUCCAGGCACUCGCUCUGAAGCACCACACGUCCAAGAUAUCGGAUUUCUCCGAUCUCAACUCCGUGGCCACCUUCGGAUUCCGGGGGGAGGCGUUGAGCUCCCUCUGUGCAUUGGGGAAAUUGACGGUCGAGACAAGGACUAAAGAUGAGUCGGUCGGAACUCAUUUGGAGUUUGAGCACUCGGGCGUGGUGAUCAGUGAGAGGAAGAUUGCACGGCAAGUCGGGACCACCGUAACCAUCGAGAAACUCUUCUCCACCUUGCCGGUUCGGGGCAAGGAGUUUAGUAGGAAUAUCAAGAAGGAGUACGGGAAAGUGGUCUCCUUGCUACAUGCUUACGCCUUAAUUGCCAAAGGGGUCAGAUUACUUUGCACAAAUACUGUGGGCAAGAAUUCUAAAACGGUGGUGGUUAAAACUCAAGGAAGCAGUUCACUGAAGGACAAUAUCAUUACGGUCUUUGGUUUGAACACUUUCAAAUGCCUGGAGCCCUUCAACCUGGCCCUCUCUGAAGGCUGUCAGGUAGAAGGUUUCCUUUCCAAGCCUGGACCAGGCACUGGUCGCAAUUCAGGAGACAGGCAAUUCUUCUAUGUAAAUGGCAGACCCGUGGACAUGCCAAAGGUCACCAAACUUGUUAAUGAACUGUACAGGAGUUCCAAUUCCAGGCAAUACCCUGUGGCUGUCCUAAAUUUUUGCAUCCCAACCACAUCUUAUGAUGUGAAUGUCGCACCUGAUAAGAGGAAAAUUUUCUUCUCAUCCGAGCAUACUAUUUUGUUAUCUUUACGGGAAGCUAUUGAAAAUCUGUACAGCCCUCAACAGUGCAGUUUUUCCAUCAAUCACAUUGAAGAUCCUGAAAAGGUCAAUCACACUGAAGAUCCUGUAAAGGAAGAUGACCCUAUGAUUGAUGAACCUAUUAAAAGCACAUAUUUAAUGGACAAGGAAAAUGUUUCAUCGCCUGAAAAUGAUAAUUGCAAGGAAGACACAGAUAGUGAUGAUCAGGACCCACUGAAGGAUCAGAAAGUGAGUUCUUCUGCGACAAGGGUAGCCACUGGAGCUGCAUCUAGAGACAUGAGCCCCUUGCCAAGGAGCCCAGACACUGAGGUUGAUAGAUCUCCUUGGUUUUCAGCAUUGCGGUAUGAGCAGCCAAAAAGACCCCAUGCUGAUUUUAAAAGUAAUCCAGUAAGAGAAAAUCAUGUUAGAACAGGGCUUGCUGCUCAAUCCUCCCCUUCAACUAUUGUUCAGUCUUCUCUUAUGAACUUUCUAUCACUAAACAAGAGGAAGCAUGAAGACAGUUGCAAUCUUAUUACUGAAGCUCCAGUGCUGAGAAGGGGUACAUGCUCAGGGCAAGUGAGAAGAACAAGUUUAGAAGCAAAUGCACCUGGUAUUUCAGAUGCCAACUCACUUCAGCAAAUUAGCCUGUGGGAUCAUUCUCCACAACCUUUUGUACCUAAGAGGACAGAAGUUUCAUUACAGCAUUCUGAACCACCUAAUGUUGGGCCUCCUAGUUCUGAAGCUCCAGUGCUGAGAAGAGGUACAUGCUCGGGGCAAGUGAGAAGAACAAGUUUAGAAGCAAAUGCACCUGGUAUUUCAGAUGCCAACCCACUUCAGCAAAUUAGCCUGUGGGAUCAUUCUCCACAACCUUUUGUACCUAAGAGGACAGAAGUUUCAUUACAGCAUUCUGAACCACCUAAUGUUGGGUCUCCUAGUACUGAAGCGCAUCUCCUCAAUCCAUGUGAUGUCCACAGUACAGAAUUUGAUGUGGAUGAAGAGAAUGAUCGAUGCCUUUCCAAUUUUGGUGCUCCCGAUCAAUGUUUGAAGGAUACCGAACCCCCAAAUACACCGUCCAAUAUAACUUUACUUGAUGGUCAUGAUAAUGACAAUUCGGUGUGCUCUACAUCAGUAUCUUAUUCAGUGCAGUUUACAAUUGAUGAGCUUAGGAGAAGAAGAAAACGCGGUUUUAUUGUAUCACAUGAAAACAGAGUCCAUUGUUCUGAGAAAACUGCAAGGUGUUAUAAAGCCGCAACACUGGAUAAUUAUGUACCAAAUGAUGACGAGGGAAAAUCUAAUUAUUUAGCUGCAGCCACCAAUGAGUUGGACAGGUUUUUCAGCAAAGAUAAUUUUGGAGAAAUGAAGGUUGUUGGGCAGUUUAAUCUCGGUUUUAUCAUCGGAAAGCUGGAACAAGACCUAUUUAUUGUAGAUCAGCAUGCUGCUGAUGAGAAGUACAACUUUGAGAGCCUGUCACGGUCAACAACGUUAAACAUACAGCCUCUUCUUCAGCCACUGAGACUUGAACUUUCACCGGAGGAAGAAGUUAUCGUAUCUAUGCACAUGAACACUAUCAGAAAAAAUGGUUUUGUUUUAGCAGAAGAUUUGCAUGCUUCUCCUGGCAGUCAUUAUCUUUUGAAAGCUGUGCCAUUUAGUAAAAAUAUUACAUUUGGUGUUCAAGAUGUGAAGGAGCUGAUUUGCAUGCUUUCUGACAGUCAAGGUGACUGUUCAAUAAUUAGUAGCUAUAAGAUGGAUACAACUGAUUCUGUUUGCCCUUCGAGGGUUCGUGCUAUGUUUGCUUCGAGGGCUUGCCGAAUGUCUACUAUGAUUGGCGAUCCACUGACGAAAACUGAAAUGAAGAAGAUACUGAAAAAUCUAACAGGACUAAGGUCCCCUUGGAAUUGCCCGCACGGGAGGCCAACAAUGCGGCAUCUUGCAGAUCUGACUAGUAUAAGGUCCAAAGAAACAAAUUGA
This 2949-nucleotide ribosomal RNA is filed under the name Triticum aestivum (bread wheat). RNAcentral's name for it is "partial small subunit ribosomal RNA". The record is from RNAcentral. Lineage: Eukaryota; Viridiplantae; Streptophyta; Magnoliopsida; Poales; Poaceae.